Long non-coding RNA from Oryzias melastigma (Indian medaka), 1487 nucleotides. RefSeq lists it as uncharacterized. The record is from RefSeq and is a predicted model, not a curated record. The transcript is spliced from 2 exons. NCBI's taxonomy places the organism in Eukaryota, Metazoa, Chordata, Actinopteri, Beloniformes, Adrianichthyidae.
CAAACAAACGGAAACUCAUUCUGAGCCUCUCUGUGGACCCGGUGACAUUUUGAUGUUUUCUCUCUCCUCAGACAGUCACAUGACCACCAUGUCUGCAAAGCUCUCAGGAAACUUCAGGAAAAUCAAAGUUUAUGUGUAAAGAUGGCUGCAGUUAUUGGUAUUUAAGGCAGCAAAAUAAGAAGCUUUGAGUACUUUCGCUGGGGUCAAGGUGGUGCUGAACCAACAUCAAAUGUAAAAUUUACAGCUUUUGUCUUGUAGAAACUCAGCAAGAACAUUCUUUUAUACAACCUCUGUUUGUUUAUUGGACAUCAUCAACUGUUUCACUAGAUUUCCCAGAGUUAGAGCUGAAAGGAAAUCGGUCGCUGGACUGUUAAGGAAACUUCUCUUCAGACAGAUUGUGAAGUGGAUGUGACGGGCUGGGUGGUACAACCAACAUUUCAUAUCCUGGUAUCAUUACAGUCCUGCAUGAGACGGCGUGCGAUGGCGCUGGUCUGAGGGCGGCUGCUCAGGCGUGGCUGUCUGUUCCUGGCUGCUGCAGCUGCGGCUGAACGCUGGAGACCAUGUGACACCCCUGGGGCUUCUCUGUCUCCAGCCUCAUCCCAGUCUCUUCUGUCUGGGAAAAAAAAACAGAGCGGGCGGCCGGAGCGACGAGCGCGUCUGACAAAUUCAAUCAGUCACAUUAACUGCAGGGCGGAUGGGAUCUGCUGUCUCCGCAAGAGGCCUCGGCGGACACUUCUGACGUGAGCGCUCGAUACCUUUAGUCUGGCAACAGCUUAAUUAAGACUCGGAUUUGUUUUUGCCAUCCAGGCUUACCUUAACGUCAUAAAAAACGACACUUUUGUUCUCACUUCUACUCACUUUUAUUUCAGUGUAUUUUUCAGCUUUGACGACGUAACAAACCGACUGCAGGAGCUCUCUUUGUUCUCAUUUUUCAUUGACAUUUUCCUCACAAACGUAGCCGUCUGUGUGGACGCUAUAUUAUCCAUAAGCUGCUGCAGCUUCAGCUGCACCUACUCCAUCACUUAAGCGAGCCUGAAAGGCUGACCCGGAUGUGUCAGAAAACAACAGAGUCUUUCAGCGUUUUUCAGCAGAAACGGGGCCGGAGGCUUCGCCGCAUUUUUCAAUAACUCAGCCUGAAUGACACAAUGCUCCAGUCUGCUGCGCAAAGAGAGGGAAUGUCUGUGACUGUUCGACAGGAGGAAGAAAAACCCCAAAAUGAACACCGCCCAUCAUGCCUCCGGCUUCUGAUAUCUGAGGGUUCGGCGAGCAUCCACCCUGACCGCUUUUUAAAAACCCACCCUGACUCAUUUUUAUGGCCAAGCAUUUACCACAACAGGAGACUCUGCCCUUUUAGAGAGUUUUAAUUUGCUUUUAAACUCAAGAAUAAUUUUAUCACUUCAAUUGUUGUUUUAAUGUUUGAGCUUUUAAGUUUUAACUGAGGUCAUGCUAUGCCAUACUUUGAAUAAACUGGUUUGCUGAUAUUAAAA